Molecule: ribosomal RNA, 517 nt
Filed under: Staphylococcus epidermidis
Lineage: Bacteria; Bacillati; Bacillota; Bacilli; Caryophanales; Staphylococcaceae
Description: bacterial SSU rRNA
Rfam family: Bacterial small subunit ribosomal RNA
Source: RNAcentral
AGCGACAGAGAAGCUUGCUCCUCUGACGUUAGCGGCGGAGGGAGAUAACACGUGGAUAACCUACCUAUAAGACUGGGAUAACUUCGGAAACCGGAGCUAAUACCGGAUAAUAUAUUGAACCGCAUGGUUCAAUAGUGAAAGACGGUUUUGCUGCCACUUAUAGAUGGAUCCGCGCCGCAUUAGCUAGUUGGUAAGGUAACGGCUUACCAAGGCAACGAUGCGUAGCCGACCUGAGAGGGUGAUCGGCCACACUGGAACUGAGACACGGUCCAGACUCCUACGGGAGGCAGCAGUAGGGAAUCUUCCGCAAUGGGCGAAAGCCUGACGGAGCAACGCCGCGUGAGUGAUGAAGGUCUUCGGAUCGUAAAACUCUGUUAUUAGGGAAGAACAAUUUUUGUAAGUAACUAUGCACGUCUUGACGGUACCUAAUCAAAAGCCACGGCUAACUACGUGCCAGCAGCCGCGGUAAUACGUAGGUGGCAAGCGUUAUCCGGAAUUAUUGGGCGUAAAGCGCGCG